Molecule: long non-coding RNA, 640 nt
Organism: Oncorhynchus keta (chum salmon)
Lineage: Eukaryota; Metazoa; Chordata; Actinopteri; Salmoniformes; Salmonidae
Exons: 3
Source: RefSeq, a predicted model, not a curated record
UCCUUCCCUUGUAUUACCCAGGUAUCCCCCUUUCCUUCCCUUGUAUUACCCAGGUAUCCCCCUUUCCUUCCCUUGUAUUACCCAGGUAUCCCCCCUUUCCUUCCCUUGUAUUACCCAGGUAUCCCCCUUUCCUUCCCUUGUAUUACCCAGGUAUCCCCCCUUUCCUUCCCUUGUAUUACCCAGGUAUCCCCCUUUCCUUCCCUUGUAUUACCCAGGUAUCCCCCUUUCCUUCCCUUGUAUUACCCAGGUAUCCCCCUUUCCUUCCCUUGUAUUACCCAGGUAUCCCCCUUUCCUUCCCUUGUAUUACCCAGGUAUCCCCCUUUCCUUCCCUUGUAUUACCCAGGUAUCCCCCUUUCCUUCCCUUGUAUUACCCAGGUAUCCCCCUUUCCUUCCCUUGUAUUACCCAGGUAUCCCCCCUUUCCUUCCCUUGUAUUACCCAGGUAUCCCCCUUUCCUUCCCUUGUAUUACCCAGGUAUCCCCCCUUUCCUUCCCUUGUAUUACCCAGGUAUCCCCCUUUCCUUCCCUUGUAUUACCCAGGUAUCCCCCCUUUCCUUCCCUUGUAUUACCCAGGUAUCCCCCCUUUCCUUCCCUUGUAUUACCCAGGUAUCCCCCCUUUCCUUCCCUUGUAUUACCCAGGUAU